Molecule: ribosomal RNA, 470 nt
Filed under: uncultured bacterium
Lineage: Bacteria
Description: partial 16S ribosomal RNA
Rfam family: Bacterial small subunit ribosomal RNA
Source: RNAcentral
GACGAACGCUGGCGGCGUGCUUAACACAUGCAAGUCGAACGGUGAACGAGGGAGCUUGCUCCCUCCGGAUCAGUGGCGAACGGGUGAGUAACACGUGAGCAAUCUGCCCCGAACUCUGGGAUAAGCGUUGGAAACGACGUCUAAUACCGGAUACGACGCGGGAGGGCAUCCUCUCCGCGUGGAAAGAACUUCGGUUCGGGAUGAGCUCGCGGCCUAUCAGCUUGUUGGUGAGGUAACGGCUCACCAAGGCGACGACGGGUAGCCGGCCUGAGAGGGUGACAGGCCACGCGGGGACGGAGACAGGGCCCAGCCCCCUCCGGGGGGCAGAAGGGGGAAAUAUUGCAGAGGGGGCCAAGCCCAGAGGCAGCAACGCCGCGGGAGGGAGGAGGGCCUUCGGGUUGUAACCCUUUUUUAGCGGGAAAGAAGAAAAGGGGAGGGUCCCGGAAAAAAAAGCCCCGGCAAACUACGGC